Molecule: ribosomal RNA, 252 nt
Filed under: uncultured bacterium
Lineage: Bacteria
Description: partial 16S ribosomal RNA
Rfam family: Bacterial small subunit ribosomal RNA
Source: RNAcentral
UACAGAGGUCUCAAGCGUUGUUCGGAUUUACUGGGCGUAAAGGGCGCGUAGGCGGGCGACUAAGUCAGGGGUGAAAUCCCAAGGCUCAACCUUGGAACUGCCUUUGAUACUGGUUGUCUUGAGUCCGGGAGAGGUGAGUGGAACUGCGAGUGUAGAGGUGAAAUUCGUAGAUAUUCGCAAGAACACCAGUGGCGAAGGCGGCUCACUGGCCCGGAACUGACGCUGAGGCGCGAAAGCGUGGGAGCAAACAGG